RNAcentral lists this ribosomal RNA (416 nucleotides) under uncultured bacterium. Its description in RNAcentral is "bacterial SSU rRNA". It matches the Rfam family "Bacterial small subunit ribosomal RNA", at positions 202 to 640 of the family's 1533-position model. The record is from RNAcentral.
AAGAUUUAUCGGAAUUGGAUGAGCCCGCGUUGGAUUAGCUAGUUGGUGAGGUAACGGCUCACCAAGGCGACGAUCCAUAGCUGGUCUGAGAGGAUGAUCAGCCACACUGGGACUGAGACACGGCCCAGACUCCUACGGGAGGCAGCAGUGGGGAAUAUUGGACAAUGGGCGCAAGCCUGAUCCAGCCAUGCCGCGUGAGUGAUGAAGGCCUUAGGGUUGUAAAGCUCUUUCAGUGGGGACGAUAAUGACGGUACCCACAGAAGAAGCCCCGGCUAACUUCGUGCCAGCAGCCGCGGUAAUACGAAGGGGGCUAGCGUUGUUCGGAUUUACUGGGCGUAAAGCGCACGUAUGCGGAUCGUUAAGUCGGGGGUGAAAUCCUGGAGCUUAACUCCAGAACUGCCUUCGAUACUGGCGAU